UGGUCUUUCAAGAGAGUAUAAUCUCUUUCCUGUUUUGCAGCGACCACUCUAUAAUGCCGCGACCAUGCUCAGCUGUGCUGCUAUAGCUGAAAUCAUUUCUGCAGCAACCUCUCGGAAAUACCUUGAAGAAGAAGCCUGGAUGGUUCCUUUGAACAUUCUCAGAGGGUCAGCCUCAUUGACAGCAUUACAGGAAGGCUUCGAGGUGUCUCCUUGUGACCAUGUUGUGAAUGAACCAUCCCCGGCAUCUCACCUUGCAGGUGAGGAGGCUGCAUCCUAACGAUGGACAACUUUAAAAAAUAUUUGAAGAUCCCAGCCUCGAGUCACCAAGGGGAAAAGUGGCGAUCGGAUCCGGCCA
RNAcentral lists this long non-coding RNA (355 nucleotides) under Aotus nancymaae (Ma's night monkey). Its description in RNAcentral is "lncRNA (ENSANAG00000039146.1)". The record is from RNAcentral. Lineage: Eukaryota; Metazoa; Chordata; Mammalia; Primates; Aotidae.